GUUUUUAUAGUUGAAUAACAACGGUGGUUUUUCAUAUCAUUGGCCCUGGUGUAGUAGUCCAGGUAAAAAUU
This 71-nucleotide transfer RNA is filed under the name Anolis cybotes (large-headed anole). RNAcentral's name for it is "tRNA-Glu". The record is from RNAcentral. Lineage: Eukaryota; Metazoa; Chordata; Lepidosauria; Squamata; Anolidae.